This 1621-nucleotide ribosomal RNA is filed under the name Sula dactylatra (masked booby). RNAcentral describes it as "16S ribosomal RNA". It matches the Rfam family "Bacterial large subunit ribosomal RNA". Lineage: Eukaryota; Metazoa; Chordata; Aves; Suliformes; Sulidae. The record is from RNAcentral.
AGCCCACUCUAGCCCAAUCACGUCACAAUGCAACUCAAUUAAGUCAGAACCUACUUCCCUACCAAAACCAAAACAUUCUAACAACUUAGUAUAGGCGAUAGAAAAGACUAUUCGGCGCUAUAGAGAACAUGUACCGUAAGGGAAAGAUGAAAUAACAAUGAAAAACAAAGCAACAAACAGCAAAGAUUAACCCUUGUACCUUUUGCAUCAUGAUUUAGCAAGAACAACCAAGCAAAGCGAACUUAAGCUUGUCACCCCGAAACCCAAGCGAGCUACUUACAAGCAGCUACCUGAGCGAACCCGUCUCUGUUGCAAAAGAGUGGGAUGACUUGUCAGUAGAGGUGAAAAGCCAACCGAGCUGGGUGAUAGCUGGUUGCCUGUGAAACGAAUUUAAGUUCCCCCUUGACUCUCCUCAAUGGCAAUUUAAUCCUAACCCCUAUGAACGAGUCAAGAGCAACUUAAAGGGGGUACAGCCCCUUUAAAAAAGAACACAACCUCCUAUAGCGGAUAACCCCCUCCCCCCUACGAUACACCUCCCCACCGUGGGCCUUAAAGCAGCCAUCAAUAAAGAAUGCGUCAAAGCUCAGCACAUAAAAAUCCGAAAAUCAACGUGACUCCCUCACCCCUAACAGGCCAACCUAUGUACAAUAGGAGCAUUAAUGCUAAAAUAAGUAACUAGGUUCACACCCCCUCUUAAGCGCAAACUUACAUCCUACAUUAUUAACAGAACCCCUAACCAAUACUACUAAACACCAACAAGACCCUGUAUUAAAAUACCCAAAUACUGUUAAUCCAACCCAGGAGCGCCUACUAGAAAGAUUAAAAUCUGUAAAAGGAACUAGGCAACUUCAGGGCCCGACUGUUUACCAAAAACAUAGCCUUCAGCCAAACAAGUAUUGAAGGUGAUGCCUGCCCAGUGACAUAAUGUUUAACGGCCGCGGUAUCCUAACCGUGCGAAGGUAGCGCAAUCAAUUGUCUCAUAAAUUGAGACCUGUAUGAAUGGCUAAACGAGGCCCUAACUGUCUCUUACAGAUAAUCAGUGAAAUUGAUCUUCCCGUGCAAAAGCAGGAAUGAACCCAUAAGACGAGAAGACCCUGUGGAACUUAAAAAUCAAUGACCACCCCAUACAAACUACUAACCUACCAGGCUUAACUAUCCUACACACUGGCCCACAUUUUUUGGUUGGGGCGACCUUGGAGAAAAGCAAACCCUCCAAAAAUAAGACCACCCGUCUUGACCUAGAGCAACCUCUCAACGUGCUAACAGCAACCAGACCCAAUAUAAUUGACCAAUGGACCAAGCUACCCCAGGGAUAACAGCGCAAUCUCCUUCAAGAGCCCAUAUCGACAAGGAGGUUUACGACCUCGAUGUUGGAUCAGGACAUCCUAAUGGUGCAGCCGCUAUUAAGGGUUCGUUUGUUCAACGAUUAACAGUCCUACGUGAUCUGAGUUCAGACCGGAGCAAUCCAGGUCGGUUUCUAUCUAUGCUUCUACUUUCCCCAGUACGAAAGGACCGGUAAAGUGGGGCCAAUACCAUAGGCACGCCUCCCUUCAAAGUAAUGAACCCAACUAAAUUACAAAAGAAGCACUACCUACACUUUUAUCAGCCCUAGAAAAGGACA